AUAAUUCAGCGGCAACGCAGCUGGGGCCUGGCACACAGGGUCCCUGUGAUGAGGAGGGGCUGCCCCUGCCGGAAUGCACCAGAGGCUGCCACCAGGGAGAGAGUUACAAGGACCACUUCCGUGGACCUGGCAGGUCCUAGGGCCCCCUUUAAAAUUGUGCCUGGGGAGAGUCCCUGGCGCUGCUCCGGAGGAUCAUGGAGCCCGACUCUACUCACAGGGGAGACCACACAGCUUCUGCGGGGCAAGACAGCUGAGGAGCAUGUCAGGACAGUGCCAUCUGCCACCAAGGCAGCUCCAGAGAGUGGGACAGCUGUGAGAGGCGGGACCUGUCCAGGCUCCCUGAUGGGCACUCACAGCCCCCUUCACCCUCAGCGAGGCACUUGCCCCAAUGAAAACUGAGCAGUUGGACAAUCUGAUGUCUUGGAGGGUCCAGAGUCUCACUCUGUUGCCCAGGCUGGAGUGCGAUGGCAUGAUCUCGGCUCCCUGCAAUCUCCACCUCCCAGGUUCAAGCAAUUCUCCUACCUCAGCCUCCUGAGUAGCUGGGAUCACAGGCACACACCACCAUGCCCGGCUAAUUUUUGUAUUUUUAGUAGAGACGGGGUUUCACCAUGUUGGCCAGGCUGGUCUCCAACUCCUGACCUCAAGUGAUCAGCCUGCCUCGGGCUCCUAAAGUGCUGGGAUUACAGGCGUGAGCCACCGCGCCCGGCCAUAGGGCAUCCUCUUAAUUAGAGUGUGAGGCCUGCGGAUAUGGGCUGGGGAAUAAGUUGAUGCUGACAGAAAAUAACUUAAACCAUUGAAAGGAACAGGAAGUAAACAGAAGCAAAUAUUUACCGAAUCCCUGGUGAGAAGGAACUUUCCAAGAAUAAAGGGAAGGAUGAGUUCACUUUGACUGUGUGGAAGCUAAAUUCUCAGGUGGCUCAAAGGAAAACAUCAAGCUAAAAGACAAGAAAUGAGGCGGGUAAAUUUUUGACACUAACAUGACAAAAAAUUAAUAGCAUUAACACGGCAGGAACUUAUCUGAAGCAGCAACACCAAGGGCAAUGUGAGUGAACUGCAGACAAGGCAACCCGGACGCCAUGGGACACGCCACAGAGCAGGCUGCCUUGUCCCCACUCUGCCUACAUGUGAGACCCACCAGACUCACAGUGAACACAUCCCAGCCCCUCCGGCCGGGCACCACGGAAGGCCCUCCCUCCUCCACUGAGGGCAGGGAUCACAGGGCCAGGUUUUUGUCAUCGGACAAGGGGUGUCCCAAGUCAUGAGAUGCUUAACCCAUGAAUGCCCCCUCUUGGAGUCUAUGCUAAUUAAACACGUAGAGGGGCGGACUUCACUCUGCCAGCUCAGAUAAUGACCACAGCAUAUUUAUAACCACAAAGAGGUGGAAACAGCUACACUAUCCAACAGUGGGGAAAUGUUUAAGUCAAUGCUGGGAGAGUAACACCAUGGACCAGCCCCGAAGAGACAUCUGUGGUGAGUGAAAUGCACGCCAUACAAGCCCAGAGAGACUGUGAACUUGGAAGAAAGAAUAGGUGCACACAAUAAGACUGGGAGGAAAUGAACAAACUAUCAUCGGCCAUGAGGUUCUCCUUUACUUACAAUAAGUAUAUGCAGCACAGACAUGAGAAAGGCAUUCCUGGAGUGUGAAGCCCAGGGCAAGAGGAUGCGGGUGUCCUGAGCAAGCAAUAAUGCCAGCACCUUCUGCAAGGAGCUCUGCUGGGCCACCUCUUGGGCAACAAACCAUCCUGGGACAUCUUGCAGACAAGGAAACAGGCUUCAGGAGGCAAUGGUGCCUCUUGAAGGGCAGGGCACACAGCCACAGGGCCACCUUCUGCAUGGCUCCCACCGCAGCUGAGUCUCCAAGGAAGCUGGGUUUUUACAGGGGCAGGUCCUCAAGGUGGAUACCCCUUUGCUAAAGGCUCUGCCCCAGCAACCCACAAGCAGCCACUUGCCCUGGGCUCCAGGCGGCUGCCCUCCCCUUGCUGUCCUCUGGACUGUUUAGUAUGCAGAAGGACCAGCCCUGCAAGGCCACCAUAAAUCCUGCCCCUGUCCUACAGCAGAUCAAUUGCCAAUCGGCUCCAAAUCCCCUAGAUGUCUCAGCAGCUUGGCCCAGCUGUAGGAGCCACGGCCAUGGUUGGCUCUAGAUGCUGCUGGCUAUAUAUAUUGAACUUGAAGCAUCGGAUUACAUGUUUGUUCAAUAGCAAUAAACUCCCAAAGUUUUAUGGGGUCAU
Homo sapiens (human) is the source of this 2228-nucleotide long non-coding RNA. Ensembl annotates it as long intergenic non-protein coding RNA 2891. The record is from Ensembl. Lineage: Eukaryota; Metazoa; Chordata; Mammalia; Primates; Hominidae.